Camelus dromedarius (Arabian camel) is the source of this 1547-nucleotide long non-coding RNA. RefSeq lists it as uncharacterized. The transcript has 6 exons. The record is from RefSeq and is a predicted model, not a curated record. Lineage: Eukaryota; Metazoa; Chordata; Mammalia; Artiodactyla; Camelidae.
UAGGGCGCCUUUAGGGACGAAGCCAAGGGCUCUGUUUCUCAUGGCCGUUUCUGCAUUUCUCUCCUUCCCCUUCCUGCACGUCCCCAAGGAGGACGAGGAGGACGGCCCCGCAGCACCUCGGGCCCAGCUUGCUCAGCAGCCCCGCCCGCGCCCUCCCACCCCCGCAUCCGCACCAGGCACCGCUCCCUGAGCAAUUCCUGAGGCUUCUCGGAGACACCCCCCUCGAGAUCCCCCAGGGACAUGUUGGAAAACGUGCUCAGAGCUGAGCAGAGAAAGAGGUCCCAUCUAGUACCAAGGUGGCAUCAGAAAGAAGGGAAAAGUGGGGCGUAUUCUGGACCCACUCACUUACUGAAGGAAAAAAGAAGUGCUGGCUUUCGUGGGCAGAGAGGGCCCGAUCCGAGUUCCAGCUGGGAUGGGCCAGGAGGUGGGCCUCCUGCCGGGAAGCCGCUAGGACCUGCGUGCUGGCCUAACUGUCGCAACGUCCCCGGGGCCCCAGCAGAGGGGCCGAGCCCAGAAAGAACCUGCAAACGCAUCGUCAGAUCGCGCCAUCGAACUGCUCGCAGCGCGGGGCAACCAGAGGAGGGGCCCUUAUGUCUUCCUCAUCUUCUCAUCUCUAGUCUCGCACUGGCCAGUGGGAGCCACGAGUCAGAGGUGCCUGCUCCUAUUUAAAUUCACUAAAGGAGAUCCAAUGACACAUGCAGGCCCGCAUCACACCAGCCCGCAUUUCAAGGGCCCAGUCAACAAAGCACAUUCCCGUCCUCCCAGAACAUUCUCUUGGGCAGCAGCGCUGUGUCUGCUGCAGGAUCUGAUCCUCAGAGCUGCUUAAGCCGAAGCACGUGCAUCUCAGUUGCAAGUACAGGCCAAGACGAUCAGAGGCUCGAGCUCGGAUGCCCCGGCGGAAACGGGCAAGUGAGGGCUUGAGCAGGUCCCUCUCUCUCACGUGAAGGUCUGCGACUGUGGUCAAUAUCGCGGUGAAGGGCUCUGGUUCCACGGAGCCCGGGGAUGGCUGGGAUCCCAGAGCAAAGAGCCGGGUGACACCGCGUGAGCCCCUCCCUCUCCUAAUGUAAUGGCUCGUGUUCGUGUUUGUAAAGAACGGCUUGUGGAGAGCACAUGUGACCAUCGAGGAUGAAGACUCUCCAGGGAAACCAAACCACCAGAGAAGAGCAUGGAAGUACCCACCAUUGCAUGUGAGCACAAAGAAAACAAGACAUGGAGACAAGAGGAUGGUAAUAACGCAUGCAGGAGGCUGCCAGGGGCCCCGAGACGUCCUGUGUAUUUAACCGGGGUGUUGGAAGCAGAUGUGUUUCUACUGACAAGAAGCCGUGAAGUCCUGCACCUAAGAUCUGUGCCCUGUGCAGUACGCCCAGACUGUCCUGGGCUGUGCUGGCAGAAGAGCUCUGCAGACAGAGGAGCGGAGUCUCCAUGGAAGACGAAGAGCUGCAGGGACCCUCAUCCCCGAGGCCCAGGCUGUCUCCUCGUGAUGCUCCUUUGUGAAUCUCCUGUUGCAUUUGAUGUGCUUGUUUGCAGGACCAAAUGAUCUCCAGUCU